RNAcentral lists this ribosomal RNA (462 nucleotides) under uncultured Sphingobacteriales bacterium. RNAcentral's name for it is "bacterial SSU rRNA". It matches the Rfam family "Bacterial small subunit ribosomal RNA", at positions 920 to 1382 of the family's 1533-position model. Lineage: Bacteria; Pseudomonadati; Bacteroidota; Sphingobacteriia; Sphingobacteriales. The record is from RNAcentral.
CCCGCACAAGCGGAGGAGCAUGUGGUUUAAUUCGAUGAUACGCGAGGAACCUUACCUGGGCUCGAACGUAGGAUGACUGUAGGUGAAAGCUUACAUCUCUUCGGAGCAUUUUACGAGGUGCUGCAUGGUUGUCGUCAGCUCGUGCCGUGAGGUGUCGGGUUAAGUCCCAUAACGAGCGCAACCCCUACCUUUAGUUGCCAUCAGGUAAUGCUGGGGACUCUAAAGGAACUGCCUACGCAAGUAGUGAGGAAGGCGGGGAUGACGUCAAAUCAGCACGGCCCUUACGUCCAGGGCUACACACGUGCUACAAUGGCCGAUACAGAGGGCAGCUACCUGGUGACAGGAUGCAAAUCUCCAAAGUCGGUCUCAGUUCGGAUCGGAGUCUGCAACCCGACUCCGUGAAGUUGGAUUCGCUAGUAAUCGCGCAUCAGCCAUGGCGCGGUGAAUACGUUCCCGGGCCUU